RNAcentral lists this ribosomal RNA (981 nucleotides) under Escherichia coli. RNAcentral's name for it is "partial 23S ribosomal RNA". It matches the Rfam family "Bacterial large subunit ribosomal RNA", at positions 911 to 1874 of the family's 2925-position model. The record is from RNAcentral. Lineage: Bacteria; Pseudomonadati; Pseudomonadota; Gammaproteobacteria; Enterobacterales; Enterobacteriaceae.
UGUUUCGGCAAGGGGGUCAUCCCGACUUACCAACCCGAUGCAAACUGCGAAUACCGGAGAAUGUUAUCACGGGAGACACACGGCGGGUGCUAACGUCCGUCGUGAAGAGGGAAACAACCCAGACCGCCAGCUAAGGUCCCAAAGUCAUGGUUAAGUGGGAAACGAUGUGGGAAGGCCCAGACAGCCAGGAUGUUGGCUUAGAAGCAGCCAUCAUUUAAAGAAAGCGUAAUAGCUCACUGGUCGAGUCGGCCUGCGCGGAAGAUGUAACGGGGCUAAACCAUGCACCGAAGCUGCGGCAGCGACGCUUAUGCGUUGUUGGGUAGGGGAGCGUUCUGUAAGCCUGUGAAGGUGUGCUGUGAGGCAUGCUGGAGGUAUCAGAAGUGCGAAUGCUGACAUAAGUAACGAUAAAGCGGGUGAAAAGCCCGCUCGCCGGAAGACCAAGGGUUCCUGUCCAACGUUAAUCGGGGCAGGGUGAGUCGACCCCUAAGGCGAGGCCGAAAGGCGUAGUCGAUGGGAAACAGGUUAAUAUUCCUGUACUUGGUGUUACUGCGAAGGGGGGACGGAGAAGGCUAUGUUGGCCGGGCGACGGUUGUCCCGGUUUAAGCGUGUAGGCUGGUUUUCCAGGCAAAUCCGGAAAAUCAAGGCUGAGGCGUGAUGACGAGGCACUACGGUGCUGAAGCAACAAAUGCCCUGCUUCCAGGAAAAGCCUCUAAGCAUCAGGUAACAUCAAAUCGUACCCCAAACCGACACAGGUGGUCAGGUAGAGAAUACCAAGGCGCUUGAGAGAACUCGGGUGAAGGAACUAGGCAAAAUGGUGCCGUAACUUCGGGAGAAGGCACGCUGAUAUGUAGGUGAGGUCCCUCGCGGAUGGAGCUGAAAUCAGUCGAAGAUACCAGCUGGCUGCAACUGUUUAUUAAAAACACAGCACUGUGCAAACACGAAAGUGGACGUAUACGGUGUGACGCCUGCCCGGUGCCGGAA